AGCAGAGUUUGAUCCUGGCUCAGAGCGAACGCUGGCGGCAGGCUUAACACAUGCAAGUCGAGCGGGCGUAGCAAUACGUCAGUGGCGGACGGGUGAGUAACACGUGGGAAUAUGCCUUUCGGUUCGGAACAACUCGGGGAAACCCGUGCUAAUUCCGGAUACGCCCUUACGGGGAAAGAUUUAUCGCCGAAAGAUUAGCCCGCGUUGGAUUAGCUAGUUGGUGAGGUAAAGGCUCACCAAGGCGACGAUCCAUAGCUGGUUUGAGAGAACGACCAGCCACACUGGGACUGAGACACGGCCCAGACUCCUACGGGAGGCAGCAGUGGGGAAUCUUGGACAAUGGGCGCAAGCCUGAUCCAGCCAUGCCGCGUGAGUGAUGAAGGCCUUCGGGUUGUAAAACUCUUUUGGCGGGGACGAUAAUGACGGUACCCGCAGAAUAAGCUCCGGCUAACUUCGUGCCAGCAGCCGCGGUAG
RNAcentral lists this ribosomal RNA (474 nucleotides) under uncultured bacterium. RNAcentral describes it as "bacterial SSU rRNA". It matches the Rfam family "Bacterial small subunit ribosomal RNA", at positions 1 to 523 of the family's 1533-position model. The record is from RNAcentral.